UACGGAAUGUGCAAGCGUUAUUCGGAAUCACUGGGCUUAAAGAGUCCGUAGGCGGCAUGUUAGGUGAGGUGUGAAAUCCCCCGGCUCAACCGAGGAAUUGCGCUUCAAACCGGCGUGCUUGAGGAAGAUAGAGGUGGGCGGAACUGAUGGUGGAGCGGUGAAAUGCGUUGAUAUCAUCAGGAACACCGGAGGUGAAGGCGGCCCACUGGGUCUUUUCUGACGCUGAGGGACGAAAGCUAGGGGAGCGAACGGG
This 253-nucleotide ribosomal RNA is filed under the name uncultured bacterium. Its description in RNAcentral is "partial 16S ribosomal RNA". It matches the Rfam family "Bacterial small subunit ribosomal RNA", at positions 524 to 776 of the family's 1533-position model. The record is from RNAcentral.